Molecule: unclassified non-coding RNA, 206 nt
Filed under: Hevea brasiliensis (rubber tree)
Lineage: Eukaryota; Viridiplantae; Streptophyta; Magnoliopsida; Malpighiales; Euphorbiaceae
Source: RNAcentral
AAUACCGGCCUGACCAAUGUGGAUUGAAAUGCACUCCCUCAUUUUCGAUACAGAAACUGAAAAAUUCGAAACCCUAAAAUUCAAACGAAGAAGAAGAAGAGAAGAACGGCGUUUAUCAAGACGCCGUUUCUAUAAACAAUAAAAGGAGAAAUUGAAAGUUUCGAAAUUUCGAAUUGUCCCCCCAGAUAAGAUUUUCCUUUCUGACA